RNAcentral lists this ribosomal RNA (465 nucleotides) under Vreelandella stevensii. RNAcentral's name for it is "partial 16S ribosomal RNA". It matches the Rfam family "Bacterial small subunit ribosomal RNA", at positions 338 to 795 of the family's 1533-position model. Lineage: Bacteria; Pseudomonadati; Pseudomonadota; Gammaproteobacteria; Oceanospirillales; Halomonadaceae. The record is from RNAcentral.
CCUACGGGAGGCUGCAGUGGGGAAUAUUGGACAAUGGGGGCAACCCUGAUCCAGCCAUGCCGCGUGUGUGAAGAAGGCCCUCGGGUUGUAAAGCACUUUCAGUGAGGAAGAACGCCUGGUGGUUAAUACCCAUCAGGAAAGACAUCACUCACAGAAGAAGCACCGGCUAACUCCGUGCCAGCAGCCGCGGUAAUACGGAGGGUGCGAGCGUUAAUCGGAAUUACUGGGCGUAAAGCGCGCGUAGGUGGCUUGAUAAGCCGGUUGUGAAAGCCCCGGGCUCAACCUGGGAACGGCAUCCGGAACUGUCAAGCUCGAGUGCAGGAGAGGAAGGUAGAAUCCCCGGUGUAGCGGUGAAAUGCGUAGAGAUCGGGAGGAAUACCAGUGGCGAAGGCGGCCUUCUGGACUGAGACUGACACUGAGGUGCGACAGCGUGGGUAGCAAACAGGAUUAGAUACCCUAGUAGUC